RNAcentral lists this transfer RNA (69 nucleotides) under Ictidomys tridecemlineatus (thirteen-lined ground squirrel). RNAcentral describes it as "Spermophilus tridecemlineatus (thirteen-lined ground squirrel) tRNA". It matches the Rfam family "tRNA". Rfam says of the family: Transfer RNA (tRNA) molecules are approximately 80 nucleotides in length. Lineage: Eukaryota; Metazoa; Chordata; Mammalia; Rodentia; Sciuridae. The record is from Rfam by way of RNAcentral.
GGAAUUGUGGCUCAGUGGCAGAGCGCUUGCCUCACUAGUAUGAGGCACUGGGUUCUAUUCUCAGCACCA